GAUGAACGCUGGCGGCGUGCCUAAUACAUGCAAGUCGAGCGAACAGACGAGGAGCUUGCUCCUCUGACGUUAGCGGCGGACGGGUGAGUAACACGUGGAUAACCUACCUAUAAGACUGGGAUAACUUCGGGAAACCGGAGCUAAUACCGGAUAAUAUAUUGAACCGCAUGGUUCAAUAGUGAAAGACGGUUUUGCUGUCACUUAUAGAUGGAUCCGCGCCGCAUUAGCUAGUUGGUAAGGUAACGGCUUACCAAGGCGACGAUGCGUAGCCGACCUGAGAGGGUGAUCGGCCACACUGGAACUGAGACACGGGCCAGACUCCUACGGGAGGCAGCAGUAGGGAAACUUCCGCAAUGGGCGAAAGCCUGACGGAGCAAAGCCGGGUGAGUGAUGAAGGUCCUCGGAUCGUAAAACUCUGUUAUUAGGGAAGAACAAAUGUGUAAGUAAAUAUUGACGUCUUGACGGUACCUAAUCAGAAAGCCCCGGCUAACUACGUG
RNAcentral lists this ribosomal RNA (497 nucleotides) under uncultured bacterium. RNAcentral describes it as "partial 16S ribosomal RNA". It matches the Rfam family "Bacterial small subunit ribosomal RNA", at positions 28 to 507 of the family's 1533-position model. The record is from RNAcentral.